CCUAGAUAGAGGGAUUUACCCAAAUGCUCGUCGUAAUCUAUCGCAUCACCCUCUUCUAGGGAAGAAAAUGAUUGUUUCCAUAUCUCUGUGUCCUUGAAUGUUCUUUAUCUAAUCCAACCAAGGGCAUCCCUUGGCCUUCGGGGCUGAGAGCACUGAGGAUCCUAGUACUUCCCAGAGUCACCCUGACCAAACACCGUGGACGGAUGCAUGACUCACCACUUCUCUUCUGUAAGUUACAGAGGGUUGUUGACAGGACCAAAUGAGAUAACAAAUGCAAAACUCCAGACAAGGGGCAGGCACACACAAGGCUCUAUUACACGUGCUAUGAGGAUCCUGGCCUUCUCUCCAGAGAUGACAAGUAUUUGCCUCCUUCGGGUUAAUCAGGAAGACUUCUAUAAUUGGGAAACUUCCCUUCAACUCUUUGGUUAUGCUGUGGUACAGUUGGUACCAGAAAGUAAAAUUCCCUAUGUGUCCCAGUAUAUGACCAACUGCUGCAGACAGUCUGUGGAUGCAUGAAAGGAGGAGCAUCUGCUUGUAAGAUACAAAGCGGAGGAAUGGCCGCCCAGUCUUCUGACUGCCCACUGUCCUGAGUUCUUAACCAGAGAGCGAGCAGAAGCCUGUCAGCCUCCAGCAAGAUCUUCCGUGUCGGGAGCAAAGCUUUGAUCACUCCUGACAGGGAUCCUCAGUCAGGCUCCUUGAAGAUAGAGGCCAUGUCUGCUGUCCUCCUCCAAGAAGGCUGCCUCCCGCCACUUCCCAAACCAUGCCCAGCUUAAAGGAGGCACUCAUUUAUUGAGUUAUGGAGAAAAGAAGAGAGAAAGAGGAGGAGGGAUGGUUGUGGAGGAAAGGAGAUGGAAGAGCAUUAUGAACACAACACCCAGGACUGCAAACUAACAUGAGCCAUAAUUGAAGGGCCAGAUUUCUUGAAAAACGCCUGUUACAUAGGCAAGAUGAGGCACCUGGUUCUAACAGGCA
Molecule: long non-coding RNA, 972 nt
Filed under: Equus caballus (horse)
Lineage: Eukaryota; Metazoa; Chordata; Mammalia; Perissodactyla; Equidae
Description: lncRNA (ENSECAG00000050488.1)
Source: RNAcentral